UUGAGAUACUCCACGUAGUUAGAGUGAUCUUCAAAAUGGCAUUCCAAACUUUCCAACUUCCUCAAGCAUCCUACUUCCUUUCCAUCAACUGUUACUGGAGCAUAUCUUUCUUCAAGCAUGCUACCCAAUUUAAAAAUCCGUUCCUCUAGUAUAAAGACUUGCAGGCGAGAGAGUUUAGGUAAUAUGCCACCGGGAAACUUCUUUUCACCACAUCCAUUCAUUCUUAGAUACCUCAAGUUGGAUAGACAUUCCAUGCCAUGUGGAAUCUUUUCAAGUGGAGCACAAUAGAGAUCUAACCUCUUCAGUGCCUUGAGCUUUUUCAAUGAGGGUACACGGCUUAACCUCUGAC
Molecule: long non-coding RNA, 349 nt
Filed under: Populus tremula
Lineage: Eukaryota; Viridiplantae; Streptophyta; Magnoliopsida; Malpighiales; Salicaceae
Description: long non-coding RNA (PTRE_LNC003349)
Source: RNAcentral